GUUAACUCUUGGCAUCUUUUCGAUGAGACAGAUGGCAUUCUAUGGAGAUUGGGAAGUAAAGGUAAAUUCUCGACCAAAUCGGUAUAUUCCUAUCUGGAGAGAAAUCAGGCAGGAUGUGAUUUCAGGUGGAUAUGGAAAGCAAAAAUCCCUUUAAAAAUUCAGAUUUUUCUCUGGCAACUAUUCCAAGAUGCGGUUUUGACUCGAGAUGUCAUGAGAAGACGAAAAUGGGCAGGAAAUCCUAAAUGCUCGUUCUGUAAUGAAGUGGAAACCUCACAACAUCUCUUUUUCACUUGUCCUGUGGCUAGGGUGGUGUGGAGGACAGUUGGGUGUGUUUUUGGCACAUCGAUGUGCCCAAACAACCUUUGGCAGUAUUUCUCCUGGUGUUACAUCUUCCUCCCUGAUGGGGCUAAAUUUUAACUUUUGGUUUGGCAGCUAUGUGCUGGGCGAUUUGGAUCAGUCGCAAUCAGGCUACCUUUGAGCACAAGUCUCUUAAAAGUCCUUUUAAUGUGGUGUAUGCUGCUUGUGGUUUUUUGACAUACUGGGCAGGUUUGAUGGCUGGUGAGGACCGGGAGUCCAUGGAGCGUGGAGCCAAGAUGCUGAGGUCGAACGCGUCGGCGAUGAUGAGGAUCUGUGCACCACCGUCAACAACGAACUGAUGCUGUUGCACCAUCUAAGAAACUUCAUCAUUAUGUCUGCCUAGUUUGGUUAACUCCACUCCUGCGUGAGUGUUUUUGGUCUCCCUUGAGUUUGCCAGUGGGCAUGGUGGUGUUGGACUGUUAUAGCUCUUGCUGGAGUUUGCCUGGUUCUGUUAGGUCUAGAGGUUUUGCGUGAUGCUAGGUGUCACUGGGUUUUCGCCCCGCGAUGAGCUGCUCGAUGACGGGUGCUCAUAGUGGGUUUCCCAGUGAUGCUUUGAUCUCGCCUUACCCCUUUCUAGUUUCCUUAUGCUGUAGUCGUUUAUGUUGGGUCGUAUGUAGUGAACUUUGUAUUUCCGUUAUGCUUUUAAUGGAAAGGGGUUAUGGCCCGGGUCAAAAAAAA
This 1035-nucleotide long non-coding RNA is filed under the name Triticum aestivum (bread wheat). RNAcentral's name for it is "long non-coding RNA (TAES_LNC016833)". Lineage: Eukaryota; Viridiplantae; Streptophyta; Magnoliopsida; Poales; Poaceae. The record is from RNAcentral.